RNAcentral lists this ribosomal RNA (466 nucleotides) under uncultured bacterium. RNAcentral's name for it is "bacterial SSU rRNA". It matches the Rfam family "Bacterial small subunit ribosomal RNA", at positions 355 to 825 of the family's 1533-position model. The record is from RNAcentral.
UAGGGAAUAUUGGACAAUGGGUGAGAGCCUGAUCCAGCCAUGCCGCGUGCAGGAAGAAGGCGUUAUGCGUUGUAAACUGCUUUUUGCCAGGGGAUAAAAAGACUCUGCGGAGUUUAUUGAAGGUACCUGGUGAAUAAGCCACGGCUAACUACGUGCCAGCAGCCGCGGUAAUACGUAGGUGGCAAGCGUUGUCCGGAUUUAUUGGGUUUAAAGGGUGCGUAGGCGGCCCUGUAAGUCAGUGCUGAAAUAUCCCGGCUUAACCGGGAGGGUGGCAUUGAUACUGCAGGGCUUGAGUACAGAUGAAGUAGGCGGAAUUGACGGUGUAGCGGUGAAAUGCAUAGAUAUCGUCAAGAACACCGAUAGCGAAGGCAGCUUACUAAGCUGUAACUGACGCUGAGCACGAAAGUGUGGGGAUCAAACAGGAUUAGAUACCCCAGUAGUCCCUGAGCGGGCUGGCAAGGCGCAU